GGUCAUUUCUUUAAGUCGUCUUCAGGAAUAGUUCUCCGGACUUCUUCGGAUGUUUGCCGUGUUUUUUUCUGUUCUCUGUCAAGAUUUUUCAAUAAUUCUGAGGUUCUGGGAAUGCCAGUCCAGGACUGAGUUCAAUUGUGAGUUUUUCUAUCCAGGUAUCCUUUUAUUGUAUUGGCAUUGUUUGGGAUCACUGUCACGCUGAAGAAUUAGGCUGUUGCCUAUCAGAUGCUUUCCAAAUGGUAUUACAUGGUGGAUCCCAAGACCAAUUUACAAAGUCCUUGGAGGCUCAAGAUAUUUGCAUAGCAUAUCCUCCUAGGAAAAAAUAUUACUAGGUCCUGGAAAGAGUUAUAAUUGUAGGCUUACAAUAAGUCUUUGAGGUUGUUUUUUGUUUUUGUUUUUUUGAAUGACGGUGUUUAAGUUUUAAUUUGUGCAUACUCAGGAAGGCUGUGACGUGGUUUUAAGAUGAAUAACUACCAGCACAAAGUGCAUACCUGUACGUAAGUGACGGGAUCCUUGGAUCACAGCGGCCUCUAGUGGAAGACAUGCACAAGUGCACCAUGUCUGAAGCGUCACAAGUCAUCAAUGAGCAGGAAAAGUGGGUUAAACAGUUUAUUGAAUCGAUUUUUGCUGUUCAGAACUGUUUGUCAUCUCUGGCUGACUUUAACAAUGUGUAAAGAAAGAAAACUAAUAAAGAGGGGCGCAGGGGAUGAAAAAAAACUAUCAACAUGAUUUAAAAAAAAAUCAUUAACAUAAUUGGCUUAUGCACAACUUCCCACCCUCCCCAAUGGAAAAAACAAUUUCACCCUUGCCAAAUGCUACAAUACUGUAUCAAAUAGGGGCGAUUUAAAAUGUAAAAACAUGAAGGGACUAACUGCUACUUAAAAAAGCUGAAGGAUGAAGAAUAUUCACAAAGUUACAUAAGGGGAGACACAAGAGAAGUAAUAACAUCACACCUGACUGCUUCAAGGAGGCAACAGUAAACUAGAGACAUCAAAGUAGAUUCUCACCAACCAGCCGCCGCUCCUUUAGUCAGAUGUUACUAAAAUUUCCCCAACUGUGGAACUCGGUUAAGGAAAAAAAAAACAGAAAAAAGGGUGCAAAACAUAAUAACAAAAGUAAUCGUGUUAUGAUUCAAAAUAAGUGCAGUUACCCUGCUUUUAGAUUUAAAAGACCAGGUUGGGUCGGGUUUAUAAAAAUAAAAAUAACAAGGACGAGGAAAGUAUGGAGUCUUUUUUUUUUUUUUCAAAUCUUGUCUGCAAAAUAUAAAUUACUAGUGCACACAAGGUAAAUAACUCCUGCAGGAGAUAAAUAACUCUUGCACGAAUUAAAAUAACUCCUGCGGACAUAAUUAACUUGUGUGCACAUGAUAAUAUCCUCACACGGCACAGUAGGGGUUCUGUAUUAAUUCCUACUGAUUGCGUGUGAACUUCUACCAUAACACCAAGUCGUUAUCCUUGUGCCGUAUACAAAAAAAUUCCCCCGAUAUGCACCCCUUGCAUUGUGGCAUAUUCCAGGAUAACAUCACAACUGAUAUGACAUCUAGCACCAUUACAAAACCAAACAAAUGAGAAUUUUAAAAAAAGGAAAUAUUUGUGGGUGACAAAAACAAAACAGAAAGAAGAAGAGUGCUUUAAACAUAUCAGAGGCUAACAUAUUCACACAGCUACAGCGAAAUGAUGAAUAAUAAACUCCAGGGAUUUUUUAAAUUAAAUUAAAAAAACGAAACAAAAACACAAAAAGUUAGUUAAGAAAGGGGAGAGAUGACAAAAUAAAGCGUCGCUACAGAGUAAAGUCGUGCUAUAGUGUUUUAAAUAUUGGCAGAAAAACAAAACAAAACAACCGAGGGGACAAGCUAGCUGUGAUUUACACGGCUGAGAAGCUAAAAUUAAAGGUGAAGUCAAAUUUGGGAUGCGAGGGGGGGAGCUGUGAGUUGGUUUCCAGUCUGCAUACAAGACAAAUUGUGCAAAAUAAAGUUCAUUUAUUCAUUUUUGUUUAUUUUUUUGCCGGCAUCUGAUUAGGUCUGUGCACAAGUGUUGUUUUUCCUGAGAGAUAACGGUUGCAUGAGCCUCGUUUUGAGAUGAAAGUUUUUUUCCUAUUUGAUGCAUUUUUUAAAAAUCGUUUUUUUUACUUGGACUCAAAGAAAGAAAAAAGAAAACAGGAAGCACGAGGCAGGCGGCUGGAAAUCUGCUUUAAAACUGUCAAGUAUUUGCCUCUUUCAACUUUUAAAGUCACCUUACAGGUAUCUCUCGCUUAUAUAUAUAUGUAUGUAUGUAUGUAUGUAUGUAUAUUUGCUGUUUUGCAAAGCUUAUGUACACUGAGUAUACUCAGGCCCAAGCGCUCCCUACAUGCCAUGCCAAUGCAAAUAUUAGUGUUCCUUUGGUUAUGUAAAAAAAAAAGAAAGAAAUCUACAUGCAUCUUAUUCUUUACAAAAAUAAAAGUAUAGAAAAUUACAGUUAAAAAUGAUCUGAGAAUGCUUCUUCCAAUGUGUAAAAAAACAUCACUUGUCAUUAGUAAUAUAUUCAUACGUAUUAAUAUCUGAUUUCCAUCUAAACUGUAUAUUAAAACUAUCAUCAAAUAUAUUCUUUUUUUGUACUUCUCACACAGUGAAUUAAUUUUUCUUUUCCAACGUUAGUACUGAAUAAUAAAAGAAAACGUCCAACAAUAUAUCGGGAAAAUGUUAAAUAGCAAAAACAAACCCUUGAGGGAGGGACUUUUUUUUUCUUUCUCAAAUUUCCUUCAAAAGAUAGGUCUGCAUAGCAUCGUGUACCUGCGCAAUUUGUACAUUUACAGGAUCAUAAACUCUCUUCUUUUGAGAUGGUACAACCUAAUAUGGAUGCAUCUUUUAGUGUGGGGUCCCUGUGUUGCAGGAAACCUAAGUGCUUUGAAAAUGCACAGGCUCGAGGGAAAUAAAGGAAGAAGAAGAAGAAGAAGGAGUCAGGUUGGACAGUGGAGGCAUGUCAGCUGUCUAGGACAAUGUAAUACUUGGCCAACCAAUCACUCGUUAGCGUAUGGAUUUACCCUUGAAUGCCCCGUGUGUAAAUUCACAAAUCCCAUUUCUUCAUUUUGUUAGUUCAACUGCACAUCAGAGAUUAAAAAAACAAAACAAAACACCCUCUAUCUGACAUCUACCUUAACACAAUGGAUUGAAGUAAAAAAAAAAAGCCAAACUGCAAGUACAUACCCUCUCAACUCUUUUCUCUAAAAUCAUGAAUUUAAAAUCGUACAUUUAAUCAGGGCAAGAUGUGCAACCACAUGUUUCAUGCCUCCGGCCGUCCCAUCUUUAUCUUCCACCUGUUCACAACAGUCCUCUCGCUCGCUUUAUCUGUAUCGAGGUCGGUGCAGCAGGGCAAGUGUACCUCAUUCAGACGAGCAUUUGGUCUGGCAAGUCACGCCGAGCGGGAAAACUGGCCAUUUCUCCAAAAAUCAAAACAAAACAAACGACAACAACAAAAAAACAGUCCAUCAAGUCUCUCAAACCAGCGCCUUUGAGAUCCGGAGUACCAUAUCCGCCCUAAAGCUUUUGUCGUGUAACAUAACUAAAGUGGAAACUCAUUCCAGCCAGAGGGAGGGAGGGAGGAGGGGUGGGGACGGGGAAAUAGGUGAUUUGUCUUGUCAAUCUAAAAAAACAAAACAAAACCAAACCAAAAACCAUCAAGUCACACAUUUAAAAAAAAAUCAGUUUGCAGUGAAAAAACAAACAAACAAAAAAACAAACAACAACAACAAAAAUGGCUAGCAGCCCAAUCGUCCGAGUGUUAUUUAAAACCCCCCAAAACAAAACAAAAUAAAAAUAAACAGAAAGUUGUGCAUAGUAGCCUGAAUCUCCUCCGCUUCCUCUGCAUGUCUUGGCACGUGAUAUGAGUGAGGUCUUCGUUUGUAAAAGUCCAAGAGAAACGGCGCGCUUUGAAGACAAGCAUCUUCGGCCAGCAGGGAGGAGGGAUCAACCGGUGGUUGCGUGACGUUAUCUUGAUGGGAGAUUAGUUUCCUGCAAAGACGAUAGAGAGGAUCAUUCACCUCGCUGUCGCUUAAAAAGGCCGUUUGAGAAGAUCUGUUAGCCAUAUCUGCAUGCAAUGCUGUGAGUAAUGAGCAGAUCUUUGUGAAAAAAACUAAAAGGGGUGGAAAUAUUC
Molecule: long non-coding RNA, 4127 nt
Organism: Astatotilapia calliptera (eastern happy)
Lineage: Eukaryota; Metazoa; Chordata; Actinopteri; Cichliformes; Cichlidae
Source: Ensembl